CCCGAGCCCAGAGUCACAUCCUGACACAGCUCUCAUCCUGGGGUGCUCGAGUCUUCAGAGAGAAUCUGCUGGCCUUGAUUCCCCUGUGGGGGUAUUCAGUGCCCCCAGCAGUGCCCAACCAGAAACGUGC
This is a small nucleolar RNA of Phyllostomus discolor (pale spear-nosed bat), 130 nucleotides long. RefSeq annotates it as small nucleolar RNA SNORA3/SNORA45 family. The record is from RefSeq and is a predicted model, not a curated record. NCBI's taxonomy places the organism in Eukaryota, Metazoa, Chordata, Mammalia, Chiroptera, Phyllostomidae. The transcript has a single exon.